UACGUAGGGUGCAAGCGUUGUCCGGAAUUAUUGGGCGUAAAGAGCUCGUAGGCGGUGUGUCACGUCGGCCGUGAAAACCUGCAGCUUAACCGUGGGCGUGCGGUCGAUACGGGCAUCACUGGAGUUCGGCAGGGGAGACUGGAAUUCCUGGUGUAGCGGUGAAAUGCGCAGAUAUCAGGAGGAACACCGGUGGCGAAGGCGGGUCUCUGGGCCGAUACUGACGCUGAGGCGCGAAGGCGUGGGGAGCGAACGGG
RNAcentral lists this ribosomal RNA (254 nucleotides) under uncultured bacterium. RNAcentral's name for it is "partial 16S ribosomal RNA". It matches the Rfam family "Bacterial small subunit ribosomal RNA", at positions 524 to 776 of the family's 1533-position model. The record is from RNAcentral.